Long non-coding RNA from Xiphophorus couchianus (Monterrey platyfish), 539 nucleotides. RefSeq lists it as uncharacterized. The record is from RefSeq and is a predicted model, not a curated record. The transcript has 5 exons. NCBI's taxonomy places the organism in Eukaryota, Metazoa, Chordata, Actinopteri, Cyprinodontiformes, Poeciliidae.
AUUUGACUUUAGAGAGAUAAAUGCUGAGUUUAAGAGAAUUACGACCAUACCGCUUCAUUCAAAGUUCUUCUCUCAACUGGAUCUCCACUGUGACAACCUGAGGAAGCUCUUCAAAAGAAGAGGAGGACAGCUCGGACAAAAGCUUAGACAAAUUGUUGCACAAAUGGAUGAUUGUGAAGAUGUUGAUGUUGCACGGGAGUGUGUCAUUAAGGGAGUCUGCAUAUAUAUGGAAGAAGAUCCAGCCAAGCUCAUCCAUAAAUAUGUGGGUGUGGAUGAAGCUAAUAUUGAAGAGGGUAUUGGAGCCACCACCAUCGGUGUUUUUCAUCUUAAAGACUGUUCUUCAGCAGAUGAAGACAUCGGGGUCGUUCUUGAAGGCAUCAGAGUGUUGUCCAAUUUGGAUAGUGUGCCAACAGCUGUUGCAAUGCUUUUUGGACUGAUAUAUGCAAUGAACCUCGCCUACCCUGCUGACCUCCGCUACACUUUCGAGGUAUUACAGAAAAUAGUAAUGGAACUGGAUGGAGGUAAACUGUCAAACAAGG